AUUUAAUUGCAAAAGAAGACAAAAAGAAGAAAAUAAAAAAAGCAAAAGAAGAGUUGAAAAGUAAGGAAUGAGAAGGAGAGGAAUUUGGGAAAAGUUAGGCAAAGCAGGAAUGAAACGAAAAGCUCGCUAUGGAGCUGGCGUCGCGCAGUGGAAAGCACGAUGGAGAGCCCGCGUCGCCCGGUGUACAACGAGGUGGAUCAGGCGUUUUGCCUCGCGACGCGGGUGUUCCGGAUUUUAGGCCUAUUUUGUCUCAUAUUUGGUUUUGGAUUUGGUUAUUUCGUAUAGGUUUUUCCUACACAUAUAAAUAGUCAUUAAACACUAUUUUGAAAGGGGAAAAUUCGACCUAAGGAGACAAGAACACACUAGGAGCAAGAUGGCGAAUUCUUCUAUUAGUUUUUUCACUUCCGUCUUCCUAUUUUUAUUAUUGGUUAUGAAUUCUAGUAUUGUAGUUUUGCAUACUAUUAUGAAUAGUUUGGAUUAAUAUCUGAGUGACUCCUGCUUGGUAUGUAUCUCUAUAAAGUUGAUUUUUACAAUCAAAUGGAGGAUAAGCAUAUCUCUUAUGGCUGCAGGCAUACCAAGUUGAUUUUGUAGUAGUUUGCGUGGGAAGAUUCAGCCAAGUGCCAAAUAUCCCUCAAUUCCCUCCCAACAAAGGUCCACAAGCUUUAGACAUUGAAGUAAUCCAUUCAAUGGACUAUUCCAAAAUGGAUUCAACAACUGCAACUAACUUUGUCAAAGGAAAACAUGUAGCAGGCAUUGGGUCCCAGAAAUGAGGAAUGGGCAUUGCCAUUGAGUGCUCCACAGUUAAUGUUUUGCAGGGAUUGAACGUCCAUGCACAGUAGUAACCAGGACACCACAUUGGAACAUUCCGGAUUAUUUUCCAUAGGGAUUGCCUUUGGCAUAUCUCUACCUACAUUGAUUCUCCGAACUUAUGGUGCAUAAACCCGGCGAAGGCCUUCUUCUAAGUCUCCUCGCCACAACUCUUUCACCUUUGGUAAUUGUUUUCUUCGUGACUAAUUAAACUUAUAAAAAGACUCAACUAUGUGCAGCAACAAUUAGUCAUACUUUCUCAUUGAAACUAACAAAUGCAUCUGCAAACAAAGCCAAAUACUUUAAGGUUGAGUAAUGUUCAUUUCUAGCUGUGGAUUGUACAUCUCGUUCAAAACUUAACCAUUGUAGAGAAACUAAGCUACAUAUAGGUUAUAUACCUGAAUUUCAAUAGCCAAAGACUGAGAAUCUGAUUAGCUUUCUAAAUUGGAAAUGAUCUUGAAUUUUGAAGUCGUCUUAAAGUUAGAAUACAAUAGAAUUUUGAGUACAAGUGAGAACAGAGGAAAGGAGACCUCUCUGAAGCUGGCAGAAGAGGGCAUGAUGAUCCAGUAGCGAGUUUGACUAAGUCGGAUUUUAUUGGUUCAGUCUGACCCUCGAGAAUGAUACCUUCUUUCGAGAAUCCAAAGCUCUUUGCUUUCUGCAACUUGAUAUUUCCUUCCCCAACUCUAUCGUAGAAUCCCUCAUGCACUAUAGAAAUUAAACAUGAACUCAAUUCGUUUAAGAAACUAUACUCUAGCAUUGUUCCAUGUUUUGCAAGCCCGAGUUUGUAUUGUAUAUGACUUUCUACAAAUUUUGAGAAGGACCACCUCUCUAAAAUAUGAGUGAUUUCGAUUAGUACUGCAUAUUAGUUUUAUGAGAGGAAGAAUAAAAAUCACAUUGUUGUAACUUUGAGCAUAUGAGUAGUAACUUUAAGACGACUUCUAGUAACUUUGGGAUAGAUUCUAAUAUUUUGAAAAGGAAUAGUAGUUAACUUUGUCGACACAUGCUGCUCCAUUGUUGCUUCAACAACAAUAAUAUUUAUUUUUCUUGUUUCUUCACUUAACUUGCACACUUACAUGUAUUUGUGUUACGUAACAGUCAUGUAAUUUUAUUCUUAUGUUAAACUCCACUUUUUUACUUCUUUUAUCCUUUUGGGUUCCAUAGUGGUGUCAUGUAAAAAACAUUUCUUCACUUUUUUCCUUUCUUUAAACAAUUGGUGGAAUAACUUUUCAUUUCCAAAUUCAAGAUCUUUCUAGUUUAUAAAGCUACUCAGUCUUUGGUUAUUGAAAUUCAGGUAUAUAACUUAUAUGUAGCUUAGUUUCUCUACAAUGGUUAAGUUUUGAACGAGAUGUACAAUCCACAGCUAGAAAUGAACAUUACUCAACCUUAAAGUAUUUGGCUUUGUUUGCAGAUGCAUUUGUUAGUUUCAAUGAGAAAGUAUGACUAAUUGUUGCUGCACAUAGUUGAGUCUUUUUAUAAGUUUAAUUAGUCACGAAGAAAACAAUUACCAAAGGUGAAAGAGUUGUGGCGAGGAGACUUAGAAGAAGGCCUUCGCCGGGUUUAUGCACCAUAAGUUCGGAGAAUCAAUGUAGGUAGAGAUAUGCCAAAGGCAAUCCCUAUGGAAAAUAAUCGGGAAUGUUCCAAUGUGGUGUCUUGGUUACUACUGUGCAUGGACGUUCAAUCCCUGCAAAACUAGUGCAAACAGAAUCAAACUGAUGUUUAUAAACAAACAAUAAAGAGGUUCGGGUAAUGAAGGUGUAUGGAAGAUCAGUAGCAGUACUUACCAUUAACUGUGGAUGGCAAUGUCCAUUCCUGAUUUAUGGGACCCAAUGACAGACUACAUGUUUUCCUUUGACAAAGUUAGUUGCAGUCGUUGAAUCCAUUUUGGAAUAGUCCAUUGAAUGGAUUUCUUCACCGUCUACAGCUUGUGGACCUUUGUUUGGAGGGAUAUUUGGAACUUGGCUGAAUCUUCCCACGCAAACUACUACAAAAUCAACUUGGUAUACCUGCAGCCAUGAGAGAUAUGCUUAUCCUCCAUUUGAUUGUAAAAAUCAACUUUAUAGAGAUACAUACCAAGCAGGAGUCGACUCAGAUAUUAACUUAACAAUAAAUGCGUACUGAAUUGAACUUGUAAAAAUAAUUUGUAUAAGUUUUUGAAAUGGCACUCUACGGAGAACUGUUUAUGCAGCUCUCUUUGGGUUACAAACAAUCAUAUUACACACUACAUUAGAUUAGCUAUUCUAGUAAUUAUAUUAAAACAGUGUUAGUAAUA
This is a long non-coding RNA of Nicotiana tabacum (common tobacco), 3076 nucleotides long. RefSeq lists it as uncharacterized. NCBI's taxonomy places the organism in Eukaryota, Viridiplantae, Streptophyta, Magnoliopsida, Solanales, Solanaceae. The record is from RefSeq and is a predicted model, not a curated record.